AGGUUUGCGUUUGGUGAGUCGCCGCCGGCGACCUUCCCCUCCCCUCCAUUGCCAGAGCCACACUCCACGCACAUACACACAUACAUCCAUGUAUACCAUAGACAUACACGCCUACGCCCCGCACUUGUACAUAGACACUACUGCACCCCGCCGAGAUAAGCCUUGUGCAGCACUCCCUGCCUCUGCGGUAAGAGGGGCUCCCUCAUUACACGGUCAUGAAGGUGUUCUGCCGUUUUGCUCCGCCGCCGGCGGCAGUCCCCGGUGUGGACGCACCAGCGGGCGGGCACUGUCGUAUCCCACGGGAACCAGCUGAGGCCGUCCUCCUCAUGCGAGCUGAAGGACCCUCCUCGGCUGCGACAAGGACAACGGCCGCGUCUCCCAUGGCCACCGGAGCGCGCGUCUACCUCGCUGACCCGACCACUUUCAGCAAGGCGACGUUCUCCUGCGACGGCGUAUUUCUUCCGUCAACACCCACAGCAGCAACACCGGCGGCUAUGGCUGCGCAGCAACAACACCUUUACGACGUGACGUGCAAGAGCCUGCUGGUGCCGGCGCCGCGCCCACUCGAGCGGCAACGGCGAUGGUGCAGCAGCUCUCCCGUACCGACGGCGGCGCGUCGCAUUUACCUCGCCUACGGGCAGACAGCGAGCGGCAAGACGUACAGCCUGUUCGGCGAGACCUCGACGAGCUCUGGCGUCGAGGGACUGUCCCCUGCGGCAGGUGUGGUGCCCCGCUACCUGCACGACGUCUUCAGCAGAAGGAACGGCGCAGUGCAGCGGCGGCGUCUAUGCGGCACCGGCCGUGGCAGCGGCGACGGCGCCGCCGAUGACGUCUUUGUCGACCUUUCGUGCUUUGAGGUGUACAACGAGGCCGCGACGGAUCUGGUGGCGCUCUCCGUCGCGCUGUCGACGAUCGACUUCACGUGCUCCACCGGCGCGGCUGGUUUGGCACGAGGUAGCGUGGACCGCCGCCUGAGCUCCAAGACUCCAACUGACGCUGCAGCAGGAGUGACCCCCUCCGUGAGGUCUUCCGACCUACGGCGGCAGCUGCCGGUGUGGAUGGCGCACGAACUGUACCGCAGUGAGCAGCAGCCGGACGGCGCUGACGCGUACACGCAAGAGGACUUGUGGGGCACGCGUAGCGAGAGCUCCGCGUCGGUGGAGACAGGCUGCGCCGCGACCGCUGGAGCAGCAGCGGCACCGUUCGCAUUAUCACCGACCCUGUCGCGGUUUCUAAAGACCGAGUACAAGGCUACUGAAAAGCAGCAGGUGUUACGGUCACUGGAGCGGGCACGAUGCACGACCUUCGCCGAAGCUCAAGCGGUCCUGCAGGCCCUGCUUGCUCUGCGGCAGGAGUGCGCCACCCGUCGCAACCAGAGCUCCUCCCGUGGCCAUCUCGUCCUGUGCGUCCGGGUCUACGCGCCAGCGGCGCGUGACCAUCCGGCAGGUGAGUGGAUUAUGCAGCACGAGACGGCGUUUGUGGAUCUGGCCGGGUCAGAAAGCGGUAAGCUCGCUGAUGCCGACGUAGCCGAUGUGCACGCCUCUAAGGUGGAGUCCCAUCAGCCGAGGCGGCGAGGCCAAGCAGCCACCGGAGCAGCGUCCUCGUCGCGCGCGAGCAGUCUGCACAGCCGCGUCUCACUAGAUACCUCCAUGCAAUCUGGCGUCUCCUCGCAGCACAGCGGCAUCAGCAGCGGCACCACUACUGUAAGCUCGGUAUAUCAUCGCUCUCUCCUCCGCCCAUCUCCCGAGGAAGACAAGAGGGCGGCACGGGUGCGGCGGCGGCGCGAGACGAGGUCUAUCAACGCAAGUCUCCUGGCCCUUCGCAAGGUCUUCCGUGCUCUCUAUGAAGCGACGCGGUUGAGCCACACAGCCGUCGCUCAGGGGUCAGCAGCAGCAGCAGCGGCGAGUAAGCUCCCACGCCGGCCUCCGCUGCACCACGCCCCUUUCAAGGACAGCGCGUUAACGGCGAUCCUCGAGCCUUUUCUGGUGCCGCAGCCAUCUGCAGCGACUCCAUCAUCAUCCACCUCUCCGAGUGAACCAGAGGGUGCCGCCGCCGUGCAGGUUGUGUUGCUUGUGUGCUGCUCCAGUAGGUCCGUCGACUUCUUCGAGACAGUCGCCUCCCUGCGGUUGGGGGCAGAGGCCGCUGCAGUGAAACCGGAGGUCGUCCUGCGCGCGCUGCCGGUGCAGCAGCGCGCGCAACAACAUCAGCUGCACCUCAAGCCACACUACAACAGCGCCGGCCGCCGCCACCGCGAGGGCAGCGGGUGCGCGGCAUGUUUGCCUCCGCGGCUCUGCCGCAGCGCGUCGGCCCCGAGUCGACGGUUGGCGCUUUCAGGCGAUGAGGAUGAACAGGGGGAGGUGGACGACCUCAGCGAGUGCACCACCGCGCCCGGCAUCAGGGCUGUGUCAAGUGAGCGUCACGACGGGUGCAGACCUGGUGAGGUCGUCAUGAGUGCCGCCGACGCUGCCCGCCUCUGCGAUGAGGCUCGCCAGUACAAGAAAACGGCCCAGCAGCUUUACAAGCAGUGCAAGUCACUCUGCGAGAGCUAUGACGCAUGCGUUGAUGAGCUGCAGUGGUGCCGCGCCGCGCUGUCGGAGCGGGACACUCGCGUCGCCGAGCUGGAGGCAGCGCUCGAAAAGGCCACUCGUGCAUGCGCAGCAGACUCGUCGAGGCAGCCGCAGCAGCCUCUACCGGAGCCGGUGCAGCCGCGCACCCCAAAAGCAAGCCGCAACAGUAUCGCCGCCCACGGAUCACCCGCUGCACGAACGCCUCACCCGCUGCGCCUUCAGCGCAGCAGCCGAGAAGCCGCUGCGGAUGAGUCCUGUGAAGUCAUCCCAGCAGUUAACGACGGGGGUAAGCUGGAGGUGAACCCUGACCCUGUGCCGUCCGCCACAGCGUCGGUCACCGCAGGGAGUAUGCGAGCUACUUCCACCAACUCCACAGCACGAGAAGGCAGCGGGCGGUGGAUGGUGAGCGUGUCGCCCUUCUCCACCGCGUCGCUCGCAGAAGGAACGGCAGCCCGCAUGGCGACGGUGCGCGAGGACGUGGAGAACGUGAAGGACGUUGUCGAUGACGCCGGCAGCAGCGGCAACAGCAUUCGCCGUCAAUCCUGCGGGUCAACCGUUGAGCGGCAGCAGCAGCACGCUCGAUGCAUCAUUGACACGCUCCUGGCGCGGCAGAUAUUCCCUUCAGACGAGCCAGGGGAACCGACCCAGUCCCUGUCACCACCCUGCGCAAGCUCUCCCUAUCCGGUCUUGCCCACGCUCUCAGCGCGCGGCAUUGCGGCGUCAGCAUCGUCACCAGCGCAGGAGCAGCGGCGCGCACGAAGUCACAGCAGCUGUCAAGACAGCGAUAGCGACGCAUGCGUUGCUCAAGGAUGCGAGUCCGACAGCGAUGGGAGCCCGCUCACAGCGGAGGCGGACGCGGCAGCCGGUGAGCCGGCACGUGCGAAAGAGGUGGCCGAGGCCAGUGUUGCUGUUGCGGCAACCUCUGCUUCCAUGUCGGCGCCGCGUCAGUCUUACAACACCGCCCGCUCCUCCUCCGCCGGUGCAACGGCGUCGUCCUUGCUGGAAGGGAGGGGCAGCGUCAGUGUCGGGCGGUCUUCCUGCGACAGUGUCGCGGAGGGGCCGGAGGCUGAGUUAAUGGCCUUUCUGUCCUCUGCGGCUACCGCCGUGCAAGGGGUCAUUUUACCAGUGGCAUCAGCCUCAGCAGUGUUAGCCACUGCGACAUGGUCGAAGGACUUGGGCGUCAGUGUGUCGCACACCGUUCCGUACGACUCUCCACUUCGUGCGACGACGAGGCGGAUGAUCGCCAUGUCGAUGGAUCGCAACCGCGAGGUGCCUCACGCAGAGUCGGCGGUCGGCGGUGAUGAGGAGGACGCCGUCGAGGAAGUGGUGAUCCGGCUGAAGAAGCAAGGCCACAGUGGCGCUCUUCACAUCCCUGCGGCGACCUGUCAGUCGACGGAAACUGUCGGGCAUGUCGAGGUGAACGGCAGGGCGGCAUCAAAGCCACCCUGUCACAGCCCCUCUCUUGGCGCAGUUUCCUCGGUGCCCGCGACGCCGUCGGCAUUGCCCCUGGGGCAGGUGUGCCAACUGUGAUGUGAAGAGAAGGGGGGAGCCGGUCGACGUGCUGGAGGGAAGCUGGUGGCGCGCUGGCGUCACGGCGCCCCCUCUACUUCCGCCUCUGUGUGUCCUCUUGCGCUUGCGCUCACCAUGUCCGCCACACACAUACCUUCAUCCGCAUUCACUCACAAGCAUGCAUACAGCCAUACGGAGAAGAGGGAGGGUCGCAGAUGGUCAAUUAACGGCCAAGACACUCGCAUCGUGUGGAGACGACAGACUCAUCGAUGCAGCUGCGCUCGUUUCUUUUUGUGUGUGUGUGUGUGUGUUUGCAUGUGGCGAUCAUGCAGCCCUGACGAUGGGAGCAUCGAGCAUCUUGG
RNAcentral lists this unclassified non-coding RNA (4438 nucleotides) under Leishmania donovani. Its description in RNAcentral is "gene:LdHU3.09.0420(CDS-product:kinesin_putative)". Lineage: Eukaryota; Euglenozoa; Kinetoplastea; Trypanosomatida; Trypanosomatidae. The record is from RNAcentral.